This is a long non-coding RNA of Gallus gallus (chicken), 4542 nucleotides long. RefSeq lists it as uncharacterized. The transcript has 3 exons. The record is from RefSeq and is a predicted model, not a curated record. NCBI's taxonomy places the organism in Eukaryota, Metazoa, Chordata, Aves, Galliformes, Phasianidae.
CGCUUCUCGGCCUGCUGUUACGGGCUGAAAAACAACCAUGUGCCCUAUGGCUGCUUAGGACACGGCCACCCUUUCCUCUGGCUGCUUCUCCAGCUUACACAGACUAGUAAAAUAAUUUUUUGCAUGAGAAGGAGGCAUGAGAGACAUGAUUUUCACCUGAGAGACAUGGCCUCAGCUGCAGCCUAAGCACCUGCAUAGCCAUGUUUUCCACAGGCAGGGACAGAGCCGAGCCAGGGAAGGCUGAGCAGUGCCUCAGGCCACACAGCGAAGUUAUGAAACAAAAACAAUGACCUGCUUGAAAAUCAGUCUGAAAUACAGCAACCUGCAACUUCUGCUCAGCUCAAACAAACAAAAACAAGGGUUAGCAUUAUACAAUGCAGUGGCAGGGAGGAAGUGGCCAGCAACAAUAUCAACCAAUUUAUGCAGUCAUUCACAUUUGUUAUCAAUACUAGAUUGCUUCCCUGUAGACUUUCUUCCUCAUCAGGCACCUAUUUCAAUUAUAUUACAAUUUCCUCUCAGCUUCAAGUUGGACAAAAGCUUUUCAAAGCUAGCUGUUUAAAAGUGGAAAACUAUUCUCUUCAGCACGGUUUAGGGAAAAUAAUGCUACUUGUGCUACAGCGUAUUAGCAAUAUACCACUAGGAACUGCACUUAGCAAGAAAAGCUAGUGACCAAAAUACAUCCUUGGGACGCCCAGAGCAUGUGGCUCCUUGUGGCUGCUGCUUCCAAAAGGGAAGCACAGGGCAGCCAGCACCCUGCUGCCACCCCUGCCUCCACCAUGCCCCUUCCACAGCAGAAGGCCUGUAGCAUCACUCUCUGGUUCUCAGAACUGCUGAUAUUCCUGAUUUUAUGUGCACCUGCAGUUGGCUAUUAUUUAGACAGCUUUUGUAUUAUUACAGGGUAGCCAUGACUGACCUCACCGUAAGCACUGCUGAGCAGCUGAGAAAUUCACUGGACAAACAUAAACACACUAUGCAUGGUUUUCGAGCAGUAUUUCACUGGAAGAAAACAAGGCCAAGCUAAUCAGGACUCCACGAGGCACAAUGGGGAAAGAAGCCAGCUGGCAGCAGACCCAAACGUGAGUGCAUCCCACUAUUCACAGAAGAUGGGAACAAAUGUGCAUGCAUCCACUGUACAAUAGAAAUAAUCUUCAAAGUUUGACCGGGCUGUAGCACAGCCAGAGGUUGGAAUUACACUCACAUGACUGUAGGACUUACAGCACAGGUGAGCCCCAAGAGCCUGAUGAAUUCAACCUCAGAGGAAAAGAUGUUUUCAAUCUGUGUAACUACAGAGUUGCAGAUAAUCUUCAGGCUAACAGAAUUCCGCAAUUCCUUGCACAAAAGCAUCAAACUCUUUAGAUUUAACCUUGAGCUAAUGUCAGUACUAACCCAGACAACGUGCAGCUGCGUAACAACAAUUUAAAUUCAAAACUCAGAAGCAAAGAAUGUUAUACUGACACAGUGCACGUUAUCAAGUAUUCCAUGUUAGAUGUCUCACAGACUGUUACUAGAUUUGUGUUGCUUUCUUUUUUUUUUUUCUCCCCUCCUCAGCUGAGAUUUUCUGUUUUUGGUAAUAUUUCACUAACAGGAAGGUUGAGGACUGUAUGCCAAUAUAUGCACUUGCACCAUAUUUCUUUAAAUAUGUUCCAGGAAAUGCCAUACUCAUGAACUGCUCUGUAAUGUAAUCCUUCAGACUGGAGCAAUUUAUAAGAUCUCUAGAACAAAAAAAGCUUUUUUCAGCAGGUACAGUUAAUCAGGAAGCGAGUACAUGCCACAUUAGCAUCCCCUAAGGGUUUCUCAUGCUCAGUGAGAGUACGGCCAGUUUGUUGUUUUGCUCAGAAAGCUGUCACAGGACAGACGUCCUCAUUAGAGCUCUAUUUUCACAUUCUCCGGAGUUCGGAGCAGAAGCUUUGCCAUCUCCCCUCCGAGACCUUUAUUGGUUGUACCCCAGGACAGGCUCGAAGGAAAACACUCGGCCCUACAGUCCAAAAAGUUCACAGUGUAAGAAGCAAUUCACACUAAGGACAAACCGUGAAAUGAAUUCUUAAAAGUGUUUUAUUAUCAUUUUCUAUUCAAGCCUCGUGCAGCAGGUAGACAUCUUUCUUUGACAUACAGCUCCUUGUGCCACCAUCAGUGUUAGAGCUCCAGGGACACAACUGCAAAUUGGUUUCCAAGUUUAUUUUAAGAACGGUUUAAUAAUUGGAGAAGGAAAUAUUAUCUUCAAAAUAGCUAAAUUUCUCAACGUUAAAGGUGAUGCAGCAAGACUGGCUCUAAUAGCACAGAAAGGAGAACAAAAUACCCUCGUGCAGAGAAGCUGCACACGGUCCAGCACCCACUGAAGUCACAGCUUUCUUCAUGCUGACUUCAUUAGCGGAUGAGGCCUCAGGGGAGCCAGAACAGCGAGAGGCUGAGGCUGGUCUCCUCUCCCAGCACACUGCACCCAGCACCACACGCUGCAGCAGGUAGCACACAAGGUCAACAGCAACCUUGCUGCAGCUCCUAACACCCAGCACUCCAUGAUAAACUUGGGCUGCCUGACAGCUCCAGCUAAUUGCCCAUCAGGGUGUAUUGACCCAGCACCAUGGGUAUAUAGACAGCAUUAAGCUCCCAAAAAGCAGCAGCGAAAGGAUGCGUUUGUCCUAAAUUUUGCACUUCCUUCUUUCUGCUGGAGCAGACUAAUUCUGGAGCAGGAUGACGAGUUACAUCAGGUUGGCACAGAAGGCAAUAGCCUCUCUGAACACAGACGGAGAUGCCUGCCAGGUGUCAGCAGAAUGCCACCAAAAGAGCAGAGCUGCUCCACCAGGGCCGCACCAGUGCCAUGCGGCUACAUGCUGUGGACAAGUGGAGCCUGUACAGACAUUCAGAUACAGUUCAUCUCAAACUGCUUCUAACUCCAACGAUAAGAGAAUAUAAAUACACUCACAAUAUACAUAAGCAAACCUAAUUUGUUUACAGUUAGCAGAGAAAGGUUUCUUAGUGUUUUUAUUAAGCUAUUCUUUUUUUAAAACAGUAUGAUUACUCAUUGCUCACUUGCAGCACUAAAAGGAAUUUGUAGAUCUUUUCUCAUAGAAGGAAAAUAUUAUCAGGUGACAAUAGAGCAAAACUGCACUGACAAGAAUGGAACAACCUGAGAUUACUUGAGCAAACAACCCAGCCUGCAGGGUCUUCUAUGCUUUCAGACUGAAAUUGAGGCAUAUUGUAUGCAUCUUCUUGGACCAAUUCGUUUAACACUACACCCAACCAUGCCCAACGCAGCAUGUAUGAGACUGAACCAUGCGAUGCUCUGAGCAUCUACGCAUCCUACAGUACCACAAAUCCAAAUUUACAUGUCAUUGGCACAGGAAGCAAGCCAGUGCUCUGAGACGUGUGUGAUUACAGGGAACCUAUACCACUCUGCUUGUCUAUUGCCUAUAGGAUAGACUUAAUCAUGCGUUCAUAUGGCUGUAACUGAACAUUAAGCCUCUGCAGCCAUACUGAUGCAACUCCCUACCACUGAAAUAUUUGCAGACCGGUUUAAUUAGCUUUGAAUGCAAAAUAAUUAUUACGCUGGCAUAAUCAUAAAAGGACAUAAUUAUUUGUGAACAACUUGUAAGAAGUUGAAGACUUUUCUGUAGAUGCUAAUAACGUAUCAUUAGCUAUUUUUUUCCCCUCUGCUUCUCUGUUAGUAGGCUGUGGGCUAACAAAUGGAACACACACAAAACAACCAGCAUCUGGUUUUCACAUGUUGAGUGACACCAGUUAAGUCACCUCUUGUCUCCUUUGUGGCUGUUGGUAACACCAAGGUUUUUUUCUAGCAAGAUAGGAGAAAUGCCAGUUUCCUAGUCAGUGUCUCAUUUCCCCACCUCUGAUACUUUUCCUCCUUAAUGCAGACUAAAAUAAAACAUCUCUUGCUCCAGUGUUAUACCCUGCCACGCACCCCACACAAACAGGUCUUCUUUUGCUCAGCACAUCUGAUCCUGACACUUGCAAUAGGUUUGCAUAUUUAGAAAUAACUAGCAAAAAUGAGCUCUUUUCUGUGUGAAUCUAACCAAUGUAAUUCUCCAGAGACAGGUGAGAAAGAAUGAAGACACAUUUGAAUGAACUUCCUCUGAAGCCCCAGAGGAAGAUUCCUCUUUUGUCACAACACGUUACAAUGCUGCAGAGAUGCACUACGGUGGCAGGACGUCUCAGAUGUCCUCAGAUCAGUAUCUCAUCCCUGCUAGCCCUGAACUUUUUAUUUUGGAAGAAGAAGUUCUGCAAGCAAAAGAAUCAGGGAGCUGCCUUUGUGCCAUCAGGAGAGCAACCAAUGACCCAGUUCUGCAAAGGAAGCUUCUCAGCAGAGCUGGGACGACUGAGCUGAUUCAGUCUCAGCCUGCCCUGCCGGUUCUCAGUACACGUGCUCUGACUCUUUACUAGUUAGCUAUGCACACACCCCUUCCCACCGUUUUUUUUCUUGUGACUAUUUUGUUUAAGGUUGUCACCUUCUUAUUACCUUCACAUUUCAAGGCAAUAAUAAAUCAAAAUUAAUAAAAUCUCUCAGAAUAAAAGUCUGCCUUCAAGACCGUA